Molecule: long non-coding RNA, 353 nt
Filed under: Hordeum vulgare
Lineage: Eukaryota; Viridiplantae; Streptophyta; Magnoliopsida; Poales; Poaceae
Description: long non-coding RNA (HVUL_LNC000893)
Source: RNAcentral
CUCAGUGAUCAGUUCACAUGCAUGGACUAAAUAACAUUACCUCAGGUCAUGCAUGCUGGACAAAACGUCACGUUGAGAGUAACUAGCUGGUCGUUCAAUGCCGAUGGUAAGUGCAUGCGUUACAUGACCACUUGGUCGAUCAAUUAACUACAUGCAGGAAAAACGAAAACGGAAGGAGGUCGUUCAAUGCCGAUGGUAAGUGCAUGCGUUACAUGACCACUUGGUCGAUCAAUUAACUACAUGCAGGAAAAACAAAAACGGAAGGACGUGGUGGCCUUCAACGCCGGGUUAAUUGGCUGGAGGAUCAACUGCAUGUAGUAAACGUGGGCUAACCGUUUUGGCUAAGGUAAUUG